This 425-nucleotide ribosomal RNA is filed under the name uncultured bacterium. RNAcentral's name for it is "bacterial SSU rRNA". It matches the Rfam family "Bacterial small subunit ribosomal RNA", at positions 356 to 773 of the family's 1533-position model. The record is from RNAcentral.
GGGGAAUUUUGGACAAUGGGGGAAACCCUGAUCCAGCCAUACCGCGUGAGUGAAGAAGGCCUUCGGGUUGUAAAGCUCUUUCAGCCGGAAAGAAAUCGUGCAGGCUAAUACCCUGUAUGGAUGACGGUACCGGAAGAAGAAGCACCGGCUAACUACGUGCCAGCAGCCGCGGUAAUACGUAGGGUGCGAGCGUUAAUCGGAAUUACUGGGCGUAAAGCGUGCGCAGGCGGCUUUUUAAGCCAGAUGUGAAAUCCCCGGGCUUAACCUGGGAACUGCAUUUGGAACUGGAAGGCUAGAGUGUAGCAGAGGGGGGUAGAAUUCCACGUGUAGCAGUGAAAUGCGUAGAUAUGUGGAGGAAUACCGAUGGCGAAGGCAGCCCCCUGGGUUAACACUGACGCUCAUGCACGAAAGCGUGGGGAGCAAAC